GCGACUGGCGGCGUGCUAUACAUGCAAGUCGAGCGGACAGAAGGGAGCUUGCUCCCGGAUGUUAGCGGCGGACGGGUGAGUAACACGUGGGUAACCUGCCUGUAAGACUGGGAUAACUCCGGGAAACCGGAGCUAAUACCGGAUAGUUCCUUGAACCGCAUGGUUCAAGGAUGAAAGACGGUUUCGGCUGUCACUUACAGAUGGACCCGCGGCGCAUUAGCUAGUUGGUGGGGUAAUGGCUCACCAAGGCGACGAUGCGUAGCCGACCUGAGAGGGUGAUCGGCCACACUGGGACUGAGACACGGCCCAGACUCCUACGGGAGGCAGCAGUAGGGAAUCUUCCGCAAUGGACGAAAGUCUGACGGAGCAACGCCGCGUGAGUGAUGAAGGUUUUCGGAUCGUAAAGCUCUGUUGUUAGGGAAGAACAAGUGCGAGAGUAACUGCUCGCACCUUGACGGUACCUAACCAGAAAGCCACGGCUAACUACGUGCCAGCAGCCGCGGUAAUACGUAGGUGGCAAGCGUUGUCCGGAAUUAUUGGGCGUAAAGGGCUCGCAGGCGGUUUCUUAAGUCUGAUGUGAAAGCCCCCGGCUCAACCGGGGAGGGUCAUUGGAAACUGGGAAACUUGAGUGCAGAAGAGGAGAGUGGAAUUCCACGUGUAGCGGUGAAAUGCGUAGAGAUGUGGAGGAACACCAGUGGCGAAGGCGACUCUCUGGUCUGUAACUGACGCUGAGGAGCGAAAGCGUGGGGAGCGAACAGGAUUAGAUACCCUGGUAGUCCACGCCGUAAACGAUGAGUGCUAAGUGUUAGGGGGGUUUCCGCCCCUUAGUGCUGCAGCUAACGCAUUAAGCACUCCGCCUGGGGGAGUACGGUCGCAAGACUGA
This 883-nucleotide ribosomal RNA is filed under the name Bacillus pumilus. RNAcentral's name for it is "bacterial SSU rRNA". It matches the Rfam family "Bacterial small subunit ribosomal RNA", at positions 33 to 897 of the family's 1533-position model. Lineage: Bacteria; Bacillati; Bacillota; Bacilli; Caryophanales; Bacillaceae. The record is from RNAcentral.